GACAAUUCCAAACUUCUGACAUCCAUUCUGUGUCUCCUUCAUUCACCAUGUUCAUUCAGAUUUUGCUAGUAAAUAGAACAAGUUGGUAUGGGCUGCCCUCUGCUGUAAAAAAUAAGCUUUUACAACCUCUUGUCUGAUUCAACAGGACAACUCUUCCAUCAGAUGUGCCACAUGUAAAAGGGGCAGCAUUUAUGCUCAUGAUGUGGUAAGGUUAUUGCCUCAAACCUGAAGGGCACAAUCUGGAGAUUCAUUGCUGAAAGCCAGAUCCAGCUCUGAGGCUACAAAGGCUUAAAACAGAAGGGCUAAAGGAACUGAGAAGGGGGCAGAAAGAACAGGGAAGCAGUUCAGAAAUCCUG
Long non-coding RNA from Canis lupus familiaris (dog), 356 nucleotides. RefSeq lists it as uncharacterized. The transcript has 3 exons. Lineage: Eukaryota; Metazoa; Chordata; Mammalia; Carnivora; Canidae. The record is from RefSeq and is a predicted model, not a curated record.